AAGACUAUACAUUCAGGGGUCAUUUCUAUAGUUUGUCACUAGAGAAGUUUCUCUGAAGGUGUAGAGCACCCGAGACCAGAAGGUUUGGCGUUGCUUUUGCAGUUGCCACCAGCCAUUGAUGCAAUUAAUAAGUGAUAAAGGAGCUGA
Molecule: small nucleolar RNA, 147 nt
Filed under: Myotis davidii
Lineage: Eukaryota; Metazoa; Chordata; Mammalia; Chiroptera; Vespertilionidae
Description: Small nucleolar RNA U3
Rfam family: Small nucleolar RNA U3
About the family: Small nucleolar RNAs (snoRNAs) are involved in the processing and modification of rRNA in the nucleolus. There are two main classes of snoRNAs: the box C/D class, and the box H/ACA class.
Source: Rfam by way of RNAcentral